This 1485-nucleotide long non-coding RNA is filed under the name Oncorhynchus kisutch (coho salmon). RNAcentral describes it as "lncRNA (ENSOKIG00005019930.1)". Lineage: Eukaryota; Metazoa; Chordata; Actinopteri; Salmoniformes; Salmonidae. The record is from RNAcentral.
AUCAUAGUGGGCGUGACUGUCAAUAUGUUUAGGUUUCUAGUUUGGAAAAAACACAGGCUCAGUUGGUAAGAAAUGAAACUGAAAGGCAAAACUUAAGGGACUGUCAUACACUGACCUACCCGCUUUAAAUGAAGAUAACUUUACUUUCACAUGUCCAGUUAUACAUGUAAGAUGUUUCGCGACGAUCCCUCGAGUUAGGUAAAGGGUGGAGUUUAUGAAUGUUGGCAGGUGAGCGUUAGAAGGUAUUGGCAAAUGUAUCUUACUUUAGUGGUUGUAUUGCUGCAACGGACAGAUGUCUGAAUAGUAUUGUAGCAGAGAACAAAUUUGUCAGUGAGAGAUUAAGAGAGUGUCUGUAACGUCCAAAACUACCAGAGAGGAUACACAACAUACAGAGCAAUAUAUCCCGGCCUGGUGGGCUGGCCAGCAGCUCUGCAGAUGGAGCUUGGGUAAGGUGACAGUAGUCACCAAGGAGAUCAUGGGUCCUUGUCCCAGCAGUGCCCUGGGGUGCCAACAGGGAAACAUCAGCACAACAUGGAGGUAACUGCAGAGAAGGACACUGUCUCUAAGAGACCCAAGACAGAGGGACAGCAGGACCAAACAAAGUCCCCCAGAAGAGAUCAGGAUAUGAAGAAGAAGACAAGGAGAGGUAAUAGAAGAAAAAGUAAAGGAAUGAAAAAUCAAGCUGACAAGGAUCCUCAGACUCAGAGUACACUGGAAAAAGGGCAGACCAUCCAGGUGUGUCAAACCUUGGAAACACAUACACAAGAACACAACCAAGACCAAGACCACCAAGCUGAAACCAGUCAACAACAGGAACAGUCCAUGCAUCAGCCUAAUGAUACAAAACAAACACAUGUCAAGGAUGCUAAGAGAGUUCACGUCCAGACUCAAACAAAUAAACCUAAAGGCAAGAACCGGGCAACUCAGACCCCUUUAGUUGUUCAGAACACACAGCAGACACAGACAGAACCCUCUGAUUCCACUCAGCCAAUGACAGAUGAACAUGCUGACACCACUCAGCCAAUGAAUGAGCAAACACAGAACAGCGAUGGAGCAGGCAGUGAAGGAGCAGCAUCAGAACCACCUAAGAGGGAGAAUCCAAACUCUACCGAAGAGGUAAAGAGUAAGCCCGAAUCAGAGAAAGGGGUACAACAUUCAGGAGAAAGCUCAGGGAGUCCCGCAGCCUGCCAGGUAAAACAGGGAGUCAAAUUAACUACCAAGUCUUAUGCAGAAGCUGCAGCGGAAGAUAAAACAAAGACUCAGAAGAGGUCGAGUCCUCAGACUUCAAAUCAAUGCAAAAAGGAUUCCAAGAGUAGAGGAUGUCGAGAGCGGUCCCCAGUAAGGAUUCCUCCUGGGAUUCCUAUGUUCACCUUUCAUAUCUAUGCUGUGCUGAACAAAAAGUUCAGAUUCAACCAAGAAUAUGACACACUCUUGUUAUGUCAUCAAGAUGAAACUCAUGCACUUGAAAUGACUCAUUUCGUGUGA